AGUGUAGGCGGCUACUUAAGUCGGAUGUGAAAUCCCCGGGCUCAACCUGGGAAUUGCAUUCGAUACUGGGUAGCUAGAAUUUGGUAGAGGUAAGUGGAAUUCCGGGUGUAGCGGUGAAAUGCGUAGAUAUCCGGAGGAACAUCAGUGGCGAAGGCGGCUUACUGGACCAAAAUUGACGCUGAGGCUCGAAGGCGUGGGGAGCAAACA
This 207-nucleotide ribosomal RNA is filed under the name uncultured bacterium. Its description in RNAcentral is "partial 16S ribosomal RNA". It matches the Rfam family "Bacterial small subunit ribosomal RNA", at positions 568 to 774 of the family's 1533-position model. The record is from RNAcentral.